UACAGAGGGGGCAAGCGUUAUUCGGAAUUAUUGGGCGUAAAGGGCGCGUAGGCGGCUUGGCAAGUGGAUGGUGAAAUCCCUCGGCUUAACCGAGGAACUGCCGUCCAAACUGCUUCGCUUGAGACCGGGAGAGGUGAGUGGAAUUCCCAGUGUAGCGGUGAAAUGCGUAGAUAUUGGGAGGAACACCAGUGGCGAAGGCGGCUCACUGGACCGGUACUGACGCUGAGGCACGAAAGCCAGGGGAGCAAACGGG
This 253-nucleotide ribosomal RNA is filed under the name uncultured bacterium. Its description in RNAcentral is "partial 16S ribosomal RNA". It matches the Rfam family "Bacterial small subunit ribosomal RNA", at positions 524 to 776 of the family's 1533-position model. The record is from RNAcentral.